UUAAACGGCCGCGGUAUUCUGACCGUGCAAAGGUAGANNAAUCACUUGCCCUUUGAUUGGGGGCUAGAAUGAAGGAAAUCACGAGACUUCAGCUGUCUCUUUUUUUUGUUUGGAAUUUGCUGUUUUUGUGAAGAAGCAAAGGUGGUAAAAAAAGACAAGAAGACCCUAUUAAGCUUUAUUAAUUAGGCCGUAGGUUUUUUUUUUUAAAACAUAUAAUUAUGGUUUUUUAAUUUGGUUGGGGGGACCAAAAAARAAAARAAUCUUUUUUUAUUCRAAUAAACUGUAUGUUUAAAAAAAAUCCGGGAAUGUUCCGAUUACAAAAACAAGUUACUAUAGGGAUAACAGCGUAAUUUUUUCAAAGAGUUCAUAUUUAAAAAAAAAAUUGCGACCUCGAUGUUGACUUAUUGUCACCUAAAAAGGUGUAGCACCUGAAAAGGUUGGUCUGUUCGACCAUUAAAACAAU
RNAcentral lists this ribosomal RNA (463 nucleotides) under cf. Heteronemertea sp. DH-2009. RNAcentral describes it as "partial 16S ribosomal RNA". It matches the Rfam family "Bacterial large subunit ribosomal RNA", at positions 1923 to 2597 of the family's 2925-position model. The record is from RNAcentral. Lineage: Eukaryota; Metazoa; Nemertea; Pilidiophora; Heteronemertea.